AUCUUCGGAUCUAGUGGCGGACGGGUGAGUAACACGUUGGUACCUGCCCCUAAGUGGGGAAUAACUGCCCGAAAGGGUGGCUAAUACCGCAUAAUCCCGCAAGGGUAAAGUCGCAAGACGCUUAGGGAGGGGCCUGCGUCCCAUUAGCUAGUUGGUAGGGUAAUGGCCUACCAAGGCGACGAUGGGUAGCUGGAUCGAGAGGUUGACCAGCCACACUGGGACUGAGAUACGGCCCAGACUCCUACGGGAGGCAGCAGUAAGGAAUCUUCCACAAUGGACGAAAGUCUGAUGGAGCAACACCGCGUGCAGGAUGACGGUCUUCGGA
Molecule: ribosomal RNA, 325 nt
Filed under: uncultured bacterium
Lineage: Bacteria
Description: bacterial SSU rRNA
Rfam family: Bacterial small subunit ribosomal RNA
Source: RNAcentral